AGCGAACGCUGGCGGCAGGCUUAACACAUGCAAGUCGAGCGGGCCCUUCGGGGUCAGCGGCGGACGGGUGAGUAACGCGUGGGAACGUGCCUUCUGGUUCGGAAUAACUCAGGGAAACUUGAGCUAAUACCGGAUACGCCCUUUUGGGGAAAGGUUUACUGCCGGAAGAUCGGCCCGCGUCUGAUUAGCUAGUUGGUGGGGUAACGGCCUACCAAGGCGACGAUCAGUAGCUGGUCUGAGAGGAUGAUCAGCCACACUGGGACUGAGACACGGCCCACACCCGUAGGGGGGGCGGCGGGGGGGAUUAUUGAAGAAGGAGGGAAGGCCUGACCCCCCCGUGCGGGGGGAGUGGUGAGGCCUUUGGGUUUGAAAGCUUUUUUUUCCCGGACCGAUAAGGCGGAUACGGGAGAAAAAAGCCCCGGCUAAUUCCGUG
RNAcentral lists this ribosomal RNA (433 nucleotides) under uncultured bacterium. Its description in RNAcentral is "partial 16S ribosomal RNA". It matches the Rfam family "Bacterial small subunit ribosomal RNA", at positions 28 to 507 of the family's 1533-position model. The record is from RNAcentral.